CCUACGGGAGGCAGCAGUGGGGGAUAUUGCACAAUGGGGGAAACCCUGAUGCAGCGACGCCGCGUGUGGGAAGACGGUCCUCUGGAUUGUAAACCACUUUCCCCAGGGACGAAGAUGACGGUACCUGGGGAGUAAGCUCCGGCUAACUACGUGCCAGCAGCCGCGGUAAUACGUAGGGAGCGAGCGUUGUCCGGAUUUAUUGGGUGUAAAGGGCGUGUAGGCGGGUGCGCAAGUCAGAUGUGAAAACUCAGGGCUCAACCCGGAGCCUGUAUUUGAAACUGUGUUUCUUGAGUGCUGGAGAGGCAAGCGGAAUUCGGGGUGUAGCGGUGAAAUGCGUAGAUAUAAGGAGGAACACCAGUGGCGAAGGCGGAUUGCUGGACAGUAACUGACGCUGAGGCGCGAAAGCGUGGGGAGCAAACAGGAUUAGAUACCCCAGUAGUC
Molecule: ribosomal RNA, 441 nt
Filed under: uncultured bacterium
Lineage: Bacteria
Description: partial 16S ribosomal RNA
Rfam family: Bacterial small subunit ribosomal RNA
Source: RNAcentral